GUCAUGUGGGAGUCUGCCAUGCAGUUCCUUUCUACAGCAAGAUGUUUUCUUUUCUUGUAUGUGUGCAGUGUUAUCUAUUGGAUUCGGAGUGUUGUUCUGUGGAUUUAAUGGUGUGAUAUUUCUAUCUGCCAAGACUAUAGCUUUGUGUAGUUGUGAUGUAUGUUGUUUUUUAUGGAAGAACUCUCUCAAACUACAGAUCUGUCUGUCGUGUAAAUGUAGAAUAUCAAUAAGGCCAUGUCCUUCUUCUUUGAGUGGGAGAGUAGUUCUUUCUAUGGCAGAUUUUAGGUGAUGGUACUGGUAGUG
RNAcentral lists this long non-coding RNA (303 nucleotides) under Androctonus crassicauda. Lineage: Eukaryota; Metazoa; Arthropoda; Arachnida; Scorpiones; Buthidae. The record is from RNAcentral.